This 72-nucleotide transfer RNA is filed under the name Camelus bactrianus (Bactrian camel). It matches the Rfam family "tRNA". From Rfam's summary of the family: Transfer RNA (tRNA) molecules are approximately 80 nucleotides in length. RNAcentral also lists the same sequence under 2 other names. Lineage: Eukaryota; Metazoa; Chordata; Mammalia; Artiodactyla; Camelidae. The record is from Rfam by way of RNAcentral.
GAAGGUAAAGCUUAGUAGCAGAUCGAGUGCUUAGCAUGCACAAGGUCCUGGGUUCAAUCCCCACUACCUCCA